AUUUGCAAAGGCAUGAUGAUAAAAAAUCUCCAAUUGCUUGGUCAGCAAUUCUCCCUUGUCUUCGAAUGUUGGUUGCCACUAUUAACUUUUGCUGGUUUAUGAAAAUUUUGCUGAACCUAGUCUUAGCUUAGACCCGUUUUUCCCUGGCGAGUUGGCUUCAGAUGCAGAUUUGGUUGUUAAUUGCAAAUGAAAGAGGUUGGUUGAGUCUUGGGAUAUGCACCUUCUUUCUGGUGGUUCAAUGGAAUUUGCAGUUUCACCUAAUGUUCAGUGUCAUAAAUUUGGAGUAAGUAGAUUAUCGUAUUAUCUAACUUCAACCUUGUAUAAUAAUAGUAAUAGGUAUGCUUCACUUAAAUUCCAAUUUGACUGUUUAGAUGUAUUUGCUCAUUGGUAUUAGAGUAUAGUAUAGUAAAUGAGGCAGCUUUUAGUGAAAUUGCUUAUUUUUCACUAUUGAAUUACGGAAAUAGUCUUCUGCUAACCUGGUGUCCAUAUUGCAAGGAGGUAUGGACUUGGGUCAUCAGGUUCCCGUUUAUCCAUCUGUAUAUUUUAUUAGAAAAGUAAACUCUAAUAAAUAAAAACUUCAUAAACUUCUUUCGUCCUUUUUUAGGGACUAAGGAAGGUUAACUGACCUUCUCCAAAAGAGGGUGUGAGUCUGGAAGUUCAUAUCUGUAUCAAUCCAUAAGGUGUAGGAAAGCAUCAUUUAGAAUUUCAUUAGAAACCGAUUUGUCACAUAAUACAGAGAAUCAAGGCAGUUACUUCACGUAUACGUAUGCAAUAAAUAUAGUGGUACAUUCCAUGUAGUAAAGCUACAUAGAAAUCAUGUUUCCAUCUCUUGAGAAUGGGGAUGUGUUGCACAACUUAUCACUUGUAUUUAUACUAAUUAACAGAUACACAAAUGAUUUGCAUUGCCUAAGUGCUUAACACACAAUCAUUCAAAUGAAGGUGAAGAUCUAACUUUGUUUAGUGAAUGCACUUACCUUUGGAUGAUUGUUGCUGCUUAGUGUUUACAGCCA
This is a long non-coding RNA of Arachis stenosperma, 1010 nucleotides long. RefSeq lists it as uncharacterized. The transcript is spliced from 3 exons. The record is from RefSeq and is a predicted model, not a curated record. Lineage: Eukaryota; Viridiplantae; Streptophyta; Magnoliopsida; Fabales; Fabaceae.